RNAcentral lists this non-coding RNA (24 nucleotides) under Arabidopsis thaliana (thale cress). The record is from RNAcentral. Lineage: Eukaryota; Viridiplantae; Streptophyta; Magnoliopsida; Brassicales; Brassicaceae.
UGUGUUCUAGACCUUUUGUAAUCC